UCGAACAAAAAAUGUAUAACAUGAUCCAAAAACUUUCCUAAAUGUGGAUUUACAUGUUAUCUUUCUUUGCUGUUUUGACUUGCAUUAAAAAUGUGUUUUUUCUUCUAAAUGCUUUUUAAAGUUCUUAAGUUACCACUAAGUUCAAACAUUAUCGUCUAUGGUUGAGAUUUUCAGGUGGAUACAAGGUGGUAGAUGCCAACACUCCAGUGAACUUCAAUGGCACUUGGACAUACCUAACCUACCUAACUAGAUUCCAGAAAAUGGAGGAGAGGGAGGGGAGCUGCUGAUUAGAGAACCCAUUCUUAUCUUCAGUGAAUUAUCAUUAAUGAUGGUCUUCUGCAGGGCUUCUCCAUCCCUUUCCAUUCGAGUCUUGUUGCCAUUUAUUGAGACACUGUAGGUUUUUGCCAUGUGGGACUCCCCAUGGUGGUUUGCUGAGUCUUGGAUCCUUAGAGGUCUGGCCUCUAGUCAUGUUAAUACAGGAACGUAAAAGAAUGGCAACUAAACAGGUAAGAUGAACUCAAAAUGGCUUUGCUUGGCUUUGUGACCAGGCAGGUCACUGGUGUCUCACUGUCCUGAGCUUUCCCCCCUUCUUGAGGUGUGAGUUACUUUGGGUCUUACACCCUUCUCAUCUCCUUAUUGGCCCCGUUGGGCUCUUGUUAAUGUGCUCUCUCCAAGUGGACCUUUCCCAUGCUAGCACUAGGCCAGGUCUGGCUUUGUCUCAGAGUGGCUACUCUCAUGCCCCCAAGAGACCUGUGCUCCCUCCCAGUCACCUGUGGGUGAAUCCCUGGUCUGUGGGCAUUUCCAGUGGGCCCGUGCAGUUUGGGUUCUGCUUUGGGGAGUUUUGUCCCAGUUACCCACUGUGGGUGGCCCCUGGGUACCUGUUCCUGGCUCCACUGGGGUAGGGUCUUCAGGCAGGGGUCUCUGGGCACAUGCUCUGCCCCUGUUGUGCCAUGGGUAGGGCCUGGCUUAGUUCUGCCUACCAAGGGGCCUGCCAGCAGCAUAUCUCCGGUGCUUCCAGGAGACACAUACUCACGACUUUCCCACAAGUCACCAUCAAGGGGCAUGCAGCUAACUGCCAUGUGGAGAGCAGCUGGCUCUGUGGGGAAGACAUCUCACACCUCCUUGACUUCCCCCACAGUGGGGAGAGAACCUAGCUCUUCCCUGAGUGCUCUGCUGGGGGCAGAAACCAAUCGGAGAACCAAGAACUUGGGACUCUGGGCCAAUCAGAAGUUACUUCCAGCUUGCGCAAUGCUGGCUCACCUGCAUGUGUUCUGGCUGCCCAUGAUGUCUUGGGCAGGUGAGUCAGUAGGGGGACUGUCACAGCAUCUUGUCUAUAUCUUCCCCAAGAGUCAGGCUUUGUGGAUGGACAACACUUCCCAUAAUGCAUCCAUUGUCACAUGACUGCUAUUGUGUACUGUGUUGCAUCACAGGAGAAGCAGUCCAGCCCAGGGCACUUGAACAACAAGUUCCAUCAGGCAAGAAGCACCAGAGAAAGAUCAAUAAUGGAAUGAAACUGAGCAUCCCUUCUUCAAGCAUGGAUUCGUCAUAUGCUGGGGAAUUUAGAAACAGCAGAAAAAUACCAUCAAGUUGAAAAAAACAAAUAUUGGGAUUAUGAGGAACUACACAAAUACCAUGCCCCUUCCACAGCAUAUAAAGUACAAACUGUAGGCUUCGCAAGUGCGAACAGUUUAUCUGCUAGCUUGACUCUUUCCAUACCAGAGCUUGGUUCCCUACUUCCUUAUGCAUUGUGUAGGUACUUACUUCUGUGCAAAGUGGGUGUAUAAUGCAACUAAGAAUACAGUAUUUUUUUCAUUUGUAACCAUGAUUUAAAGAUGUCAGUGGACAAUGUUCAUAGGUAUCAACUGAGCAUAAGACUGAUUGUUCUUUGAAAUCUUUACAAAACUAUUCAACUUUUGAGAUGUAACUGGAUAUCAUGGUGAAAUGGGCCUUCUUGCAAGACUUUUUAUUCUUCUUGUCACUGGUUGGGCUAAAGCAUCAAAAAAUUACAAGGUGGUAUUCUACACCCCUCCCUCCAUGAAGGAGGCAAGAAAGGUAGAGAUGCAUAGAGCUGAAAUGUGAAAGUAAACUAAGCUUUUUCAUCCUCCCAAAGAGGUUUAUUUUAAAUAAAGUUCAAAUGCACAAUAGUGAGGGCAGGUUCUUGUUUAAAUGAACCAGCUCAUCUACCCAUAAUUAUGAAACAGAUUACUUUCAUUGUCUACAGGAUCUCACACUCCACAGUGACACCUUUUAAUGUUGCUAAUGUCUAUGUUAGGCAAAUAUGGGUUGUGUCAAUGAACUAAAAAUUCAAAACAUGGAUCAAUGGGAGGGCAUUAGAUUAGCAUAUGCUACAUUAGCAGUGCCAUGGUACAUGUUAAAAAAAGAGAAAGAGAAGAGAGAGUUCUGCAGUUGCUUAAAGAGGACUGGCUCAGUUUCACCUCUUACUGGGAGGUUAUGGCUGCGUGUACACCCAGCCUGUCUUUCUCUGGACCACUCGCAGCUAUAUACUCUGCCUAAUAAUCUUAUUUGGGUAUUUAAAAGUUUUGUGUGAACAACAACAGUAUCUAGUUUGUGGGCCCCAGUUUUUUUUUUAAAUUUCCGUCUAUCUCUGGUGUCUUUUUAUGUUUAUCUCAUAUCUCUGAGCAGAGUCUGCAGGUCUUGAGAUGUGAGCUGAUUUUUACAAAGGAGACAUCUUUGCUUAGCAUGAUUUAAGUGAGAGAGACAAUUUCAGCAUUUAUCUCAUUUAAAUAACAAGGAAAGCCCAGAUACUGCUUGUAUCUGAGAAAAGAUAGUCAUACAAGUGUACUGUGGAGACAUUCAGGAUGCUAAUUAUCUCUAGACAUUUCUAAGUAGAUAACUUUUCUUGUUUAUAUAUUGGAUUUUUCUUUUCAUUUUUAUUUCGCACACAAUUUUUGAAAACUUUGGAUGUGCAUAUGGACAUUGUACAGAAUCCAGGAAUGAAAGUUGACAAGAACACUUUGCCAAAAUUUCUGAUACGCUCCCAUUACCUCUACCACAAACUUGGCUUUAAUCUUAUUGAGUUAUUAUUGAUUUCUGUUAAUAGUGGAGAUUGCUAAUACAAUAUGACAGUCUACUUGUAUCAGCAGUUUCAAUUAGAUCACGGAUAACAGAUUGCAUAUUCUGUCUGUUCUACUUCUGUGACCUGUCUUUUCAAAUUAACUUUCACAAUUAAAACCAUUUAGUGAGACAGUUUGGAUAGACUGUUGAGCCUUGUGAUGAUGCACCAGCACUUAAAAAAGAAAGAGCUAAAGAACCUUUCUUUUUCACUCCCAAAUCCCUUUGCAGAGAGGAGGAAAAAACAUUGUUUUGUGUUCAAAAAGUACAAGGCCUGAGCUUGUCUGGCACCUUUUACAAUCAUUUUGAUUCACUUAAUGGACAGACAGGAAAUGGCCAAUGGCCUUCACAAUUUCUGUUCCUGGGUCUACAGAAGGAUGGUAUGUGCAGUGUCAGAGUGGCUUUGUGUGCCUAUCUGGUAUUAACUGUUCUCAUUGUGAUAUGUUGCUGUUUGGUACAUUCAGAGGAGUUUUAAAAUUAUCCUUGGAAGAAGGAAUUAAAUAAUAAAAUUUUCACUUGACUAUCUAUUAGUAAUUAACUUUCUGCUUUUUACACCCAAAAGUGUGAUGUACUUUCCUCCCAAAUGGUUGGUCUUCUCAGCUUAGCUGGGAAGAGCCACUUAGGUAUCAGGGGAUUCAGUGGAGCCACAGGCAUUGUUGGAGGCCCCAUACAGCUUCUGGGAACAGCAACAGGAUGGUAGGUUGAAGUAGACAGCUGUGCUGGUCAGUCCGAGAUGCUGGAUUCAAAAAAUGCACUGCCCUAUGUGGGGGUGCCAAGAUGGCACAAAUCCUCUGAGGCUUCCAAAAUAAAUGGCCACCAAUGAAAACUUUUAUCUUGGUCACAGGAAAUUCUGCUUGGCUGGGAAGAGGAAGCAUCUCAUUAUCAAGUCUAGUGCUUUAUGAGACCAUCCUUCCUGUGCAAGUGUUCUUACUUUUUCUUAUCUGACGGUUUCCAACCAUGGAUUUGAGCUCUCUCUUCUCUUUCUCUCUUUUUGUUAGAAGAGUAUAUUAAGACUUUAGUUGCAUACAGGUAGUGACAUUCAUUCUCUGACACUCAUAAGAUGAGGUUAUUAUGCACUACAUGCCUUUAAAAUCUAAUUCACUGCACAUAUACUAUUUUACUUUUAUUGUCAUGUUUGGUUAUGUUAAAAAUGAUUAUAUUCUCUUUUUGUGAGUGUGUUAUGUAUUAUUUUUAACAAAAAAUUUGAACGUGACAAAAGUAAUACAGGACCCUAUUGUGCAGAAAUGCACUUUCCACAGAUAUUUGCAUUUUCACCAAUGAAAUCACACCAUGAUUCAGAGAAACGGUGUCUGACUAAGCUGCUUCUGUCCUAUUUCAUGUUUUGGCUGCAUCAGAAAAUUGCAGAAGAAUAAGGAAUUGCAGGGUAUGUGUGAAUUGCAGCUCUUAAAGAAUGGUGGGUUAUAGUUUGAAUGAGGAAUGUUCAACAGAAUAAUGACACACCCACAUAGGGGCUGACCUAUAUUCAUCUGGACAGGAGCCCUUAAACCAAAAAUGGUGGCUUCUUAGUUUCUGUCGAUAAGAACAGGAACUUACAAAUUCAGUAUUAUAAAGAGCUUAGUUGAAACACUUCAGUUUAUACAUUGAUUUGGACCAGCAUAGUACAUUUAUUUGAUUUUAAAUUUCCCACAUACAUUAAGAUAUCCAGUUCAUUUACUUACAUAGUGGCAAGGGAUAUUCUCAUUGGGUAAUAACUUUUCCCCCCUUCUUUUGAGCAUAGCUGUUUACUUGUUGGAUGAAAUGUCCAUGUGCUGAUAAUCAUUUUUAUGGACACUGUCAUAGAGAUCAACUUUUAUUUUUGCUGGGGAGGGAGGGGCUAAGAUGAUGGACAUGUGGAAAGUUUUAUGCAUUUCAGGUGAUAGCCCUCUUCCCAAUGGGGGCUAGGGCCCUCAGCUCUCCAAGUAUUCAGCACCUCUGGAUGCUGUAAUUUCUGGAGGUCUUUUAAACUCCAGGCAUAGACAGAAUCAACUUUUCAUUUUGUGAGGUGAUAGAGAUUUGCUUUCUUUGCAUAAUUUAUUUUUUUCUCCACUGUCUCUUACCUGCUCAGAGUUAUGUUGUUUUUUCUUGGGGACAUCUCAGAGUUCUGGGUGUGCUUAAGACCAAUUUAUCUCUUCUGCAGCUGCUUACAGAGGACUUUUUCAGUUUUACCUCUUACUGGGAGGUUGUGGCCUCCCAGCCUGCCUCUCUCUGGACCACUCACAGUUAUCUACUCUGCCUAAUUGCUGGGCUUGCACAUGGGAGCAAGUGGACAGGGCUUGUUUCUAGGCAGUGGUUUCUGUGUUUCUUUCAACAAGGAAACAGUAUAGUUACAAGUUCUUCCAUUGCCUUCACUGAGCAGAAUCAGACACAGACAAAGAAAGACAAAAUCCUGUGUUGUAAUAACUUCAGUUUCAGUCAGAUAAGUCUCCAUCAGCUGCUCCCAUCAGAAGUGUCACCAAGCCUUAGAAGGAUUAUCCAUGUCUUAAACAGUUGCAUGGAAAUUCCUGUGAAAUACUUGUUAUGUUGCAAAGAUGAAAGGAGAGAUUAUGUACAUAUAGUCAAAUUGAUUGAUAUUUUUAUUCAGAUUUGUUGAGAAUUUGCUCCUUAGAAAAUUUUGAAUAAAAACUGCCCCAAAUAUUUGGGUAUUAUUUUGUCCAGAUGUCUUCAGUGUUUGAAGCCAUUUUGUCAAUGUUUUGGGGGGAAAAACUGAAAAGCCAUUGAACAUUUUAAAAUGUGUUCAUACUUUUCAAUGAUGCUUUUGAUCAGUGCAGAUAUGUCAGGGUGAGACUGCCUGAAGUAGUGUUAUUAGCCACUGCUCUGUAUCUGAUAAACAUUAUGAGGUAAACGUACCUGUUUUAAGUAGGUAAUAAGCAUCAAAGAAUCAUAGAAAAUUAGGGUUGGAAGGAACCUCAGGAGUUCAUCUAGCCCAGCCCCUUGGUCAAAGCAGGACUAUCCCCAACUAGAUCAUCUGAGCCAAAGCUUUAUCUAGCUGGGUCUUAAAAGCCUCCAAGGAUGGAGCUUCCACUACCUCUGUGGGUUACCUGUUCUAGUGUUUUACUACCCUUCCAGUGAUAAAAUGCUUCCUAAUAUCUAAGCUAAACUUCCCUUGUAGCAACUUGAGACUGUUGCUCCUUGUUCUUUCAUCUGCCACCACUGAGAACAGUCUAGCUUCAUCCUCUUUUGAACCCCACCCCCCUUCAGCUGGUUGAAGGCUGCUAUUAAUCCACUCUCAGACAGUUCCCUCAGGCUCUCCUCAGAAGUCAUGUGCCCCAGCCCGCUUUGCAAUUGUCCUCUUUGAAGCUCAUUAGAUUCUUUUUGGCUCAAUCCUCCAAUUUGUCUAGGUCAUUCUGAAUCCUAUCCCUACCCUCCAGCUUAUCCACUACUCCCCCCAGCUUGGUGUCAUCUGCACAUUCACUGAGGGUAUACUCUGUCAUCUUCCAGGUUGUUGAUGAAGACAUUGUAUGAAACCAGCCCCAGGACCGACCCCUGGGGCACUCCACUUGAUACCGGCUCCCAACUAGACACUGAGCCAUUGAUUACUACAUUCUGAGCCCAAUGCACCAGGCAAUUUUCUAUCCACCUUACAGUGCAUUCAUCCAGUCCAUACUUCCUUAGCUCACCUGCAAGAAUGUUGUGGGAGAUGGUAUCAAAAGUCUUGAUAAAAUCAAGGUGCACCACAUUUACUGGUCUCCCCGCAUCCACAGAACCAGUCACCUCAUCAUAGAAGGCAAUCAGGUUGGUCAGGCAUGACUUGCCCUUCAGUUUCAUACUGGAGCUCUAAGCAAUCAUAUGGCUCUUUAUGGAAAAGUGCAACCCCUCCUCUUCUUCUCUGCCUCUCCUUCCUGAACAGCUUGUAUCCAUCCAUGACACUGCUCCAGUCAUGCAGCUAUCCCACCAAGUCUGUGUUAUUCCAGUCUCAUCAUAGUUCCGUAAUUGUGCAGGGACUUCCAAUUGCUGAGUGGGUACAAUACCAAUUAGAAAAACUAGACAUUUAUAAGUCAGGAGGACCAGAUGGACUCCAUCUGAGAGUGCUGAAGGAGCUGGCUGAGGUCAUCGUGGAACCAUUGGCAAUGCUCUUUCAGAAUUCGUGGCAUACAGGGGAAAUCCGUGAGGAUUGGAAGAGGGACAACAUUGUGCCCAUCUUCAAAAAGGGGAAGAGGGAGGAUCCAAGCAACUAUAGGCCAGUCAGCCUAACCUCCAUCCCAGGGAAAAUCCUGGAAAAGCUCAUUAAAGAAUCUAUGUGUGAUAUGCUCGUAGAAGGUAAAAUGCUGAAUGACAGCCAGCAUGGCUUUGUUGCGAGUAGGUAUUGUCUUACCAAUCUCACCUCCUUCUAUGACCAGGUCUCUUGCCACCUGGACACAGGAGACGUGGUAGAUGUUAUCUAUACCUAGACUUCCAAAAGGCUUUUGAUCUAGUAUCCCACAAUAUCCUUGUGAGAAUCUUGGAAAAUUGUGGGCUCAGCUGCUCAAGGGUUCAGUGGGUAGGAUACUGGCUAUAGGGUAGGACCCAGAGAGUUCUCAUGAAUGGAUCUGUCGUCCUGGUGCAAAAUGGCCAGUGGUGUCCCUCAGGGGUCUGUGCUUGGAUCGGUGCUUUUCAACAUCUUUAUCAAUGACUUGGAUAGGGGAGUGAAAAGCUCGCUCGUCAACUUUGCAGAGGACACCAAGUUAUGGGGCAGUGUGGUCACAUCAGAAGAUAGGUUGCAGAUACAGGCAGACCUGGACAGGAUUGAGAGCUGGGCAGACUGGAACCAGAUGAAGUUUAACACUUCCAAGUGUAAGGUGCUCCAUCUGGGGGAAAACAACCCUCAACAUACAUACAGGCUCAGUGGUGACAUCUUGACUUGCACCACAGCUGAAAGUGACCUAGGGGUAAGGAUUGACCAUCAUAUGAAUAUGAGCCAUCAAUGCGAGGCGGUGCUCAGCAGGGCAAACCACACACUAGCAUGCAUAAACCGAUGCAUCUCGUGUAAAACGAAGUGAUACUCCCACUGUACUCAAUACUGGCGAGACCGCAGUUGGAGUACUGCAUGCAGUUCUGGGCACUGCACUUCAAUAAGGACAUGGAAAAACUUGACAGAGUCCAGAGAAGAGCCACCCAUAUGAUCAGGGACUUGCAAGGCAAGCCAUGUGAGAAAAGGCUGAGGGACCUGGGCCUCAUUAGCCUUAAGAAGAGAAGGUUGAGAGGAGACUUGAUAGCAGCUUACUGCUAUAUCAAAGGAGUGCAUCAGGAGCUUGGUGAACAACUGUUCGCUAGGGCACCCCCAGGGAAGACCAGGACCAAUGGAUACAAACUCCUGGAAGGCUGCUUCAGGCUUAAUACCAGGAAAAACUCCUUCACAGUCAGGGUGUCUAGACUGUGGAAUCAACUCCCUCCAGAGGUGGUGCAGUCACCUACCCUGGAGAUUUUCAAGAGGAGUCUAGACAGUCACCUCGCUGGGGUCACCUAACCCCAGCUGUCUUUCUGCCUAGAGCAUGGGGGCUGAACCCAAUGAUCUGCAAGGUCCCUUCCAGCCCCAAACAAUCUAUGAAUCUAUGAAUUCUUUCUGCUUGUUUCUCAGGCUCCAUGCAUUCAUGUAUAGGCACUUAAGGUUAUCAAGGAGCACAUCUGUGAUGGGCUGGCAUCGGGGAUGAUGCUCAAGGGCAACCAGCAACGUUUCAUUAGGGGCAGGUCAUGUCAGACCAACCUAAUUGCCUUUUAUGAUCAGGUCACAAAAGCAUUGGAUGCAGGUGUUGCCAUGGAUGUAGUCUUUCUGGACUUCAGCAAGGCCUUUGACACUGUUGACCACCCCAUCCUCAUUAAAAAACUAGGCGACUGUGGCAUUGAUGCCUACACAGUCAGAUGGAUUGCAAAUUGGCUGAAGGGUCAUACUCAGAGGGUGGUGGUGGACGGGUCAUAUUCGACCUGGAGGGAAGUGGGCAGCAGAGUCCCGCAGGGCUUGGUCCUUGGGCCCGCACUGUUCAAUUUCCUCAUCUGCUAUUUGGAUGAUGGGGUGAAAAGUAACCUGUUCAAAUUUGCUGAUGAUACCAAAAUUUGGGGUGAGGUGGGCACGCUAGUAGGGGGGGAAAGACUGCAGAAAGACCUGGAUAGGUUGCAAGGGUGGGCUAACAAAAACAGGAUGCUUUUCAAUACUGACAAGUGCAGGGUGCUGCACUUGGGCAAUAGUAACCAGCAGCACACUUAUACGAUGGGGAAACUCCCUUCUUGAGAGCAUGGAGGCAGAAAGGGAUCUUGGAGUCAUCCAAGAUGAACAUGGGCCGACAAUGCGAGGUCACGGUCGGCAGGGCUAACCGGACCUUAUUGUGCAUCCACAGGUGCAUCUCAAGUAGGUCCAAGGAGGUGAUCCUCUACACUACACUGGUCAAGCCACAGCUGGAGUACUGUGUCCAGUUCUGGGCACCCCACUUCAAAAGGGAUGUGAACAACAUUGAGAGGGUCCAGAGGAGGGCCACCCGCAUGAUCCGGGGACAGCAGGGCAGACCCUACAAUGAGAGGCUACGGGACCUGAACCUGUUCAGCGUUCACAAGAGAAGGCUGAGGGGGGAACUGGUGACUGUCUGUGAACUCACUAGGGGGGACCAGAAGGGUUUGGGGGAGACCUUGUUUCCCCUAGCGCCCCCCAGGAUAACAAGGAAUAACGGCCACAAGUUGUUGGAGAGUAGGCUUAGAUUAGACAUCCGUAAGAACUACUUCACAGUUAGGGUGGCUAGGAUCUGCUGGCUUCCAAGGGAAGUGGUGCUGGCUCCUACCCUGGGGGUCUUUAAGAAGAGGCUUGAUGCCUACCUGGCUGGGGUCAAUUGAGCCCAGUUUUCCUCCUGCCCAGACAGGGGGUUGGACUUGAAGAUCUACAAGGUCCCUUCCCACCCUACUUCUCUGAUUCUCUGAUUCUAUUAAUGUAACUAGUUGUUUGCCCUGAUUUCUCAGGAAGUAUGACAACACCUCCCCUGUUGCCCCCUCCUGCUUGCUCUUCCUCUAGGUCUCCCACUUCCCCACUUACCUCAGGGCUUUGGUUUCCAUCCCCUGUUGAACCUAGUUUAAAGCCCUCCUCUCUAGGUAAGUGAGCCUGUCUGCAAAGAUACUCUUCCCUCUCUUUGUCAGGUGGAUCCCAUCUCUUCCCAGCAAUCCUUUGUCUUAGAACAACAUCCCAAGGUUGAAGAAGCCAAAUCCCUGCUGAGGACACCAUGUGUGUGGUCAGGUGUUCAUCUGCAAGAUGCACCUGCUCCUGCCUGAGCUCUUUUCCUUGAGCAGAAGGAUUGAUUAGAACACAACCUGAGCCACAGACCCUGUCACCCUUGCACCCAGAGCCCUGUAGUCACUGUUGAUACACUCAGGGUCUCCCCUGGAAAUAUCAUUGGUGCCCACAUGGAUGAGCAGCAUGGGGUAGUAAUCAGAGGGCUGGAUGAGUCUCGAUAAUCCCUCCAUGACACCUUGGGUCCAGACUUUGGGGAAGCAGCAGCCUUCCUGAGACAACAGGUCAGAUCAGCAGAUAGCUCCCUCUGUCAUCAUCCCCGCCCCCCCCCUUCCGAAAGGAGUCUCUAACCACCACUAUCCAUCACUUCUUGGUAGUGGUUGUCUCUAUUCUUUUCAACUUAGUGAGGUCUGGCCUGUCCUCCUCCACCAAUGGAAUGUGCUUUCACUUGCCUUUCAGGCAUGAUAUUCUUUAUCCCCAUUCUGUUGUUUAACAGGAUCAAAACUAUUAGUAUUUCUAUUGCUAAUGUUACAUAUGGAAAUCGCUCAGUAGAAGACAACUUUUUCCUGUUUAGUGUAGCUUAGAAAUUUCAUCACCUUCAAGUCAUUUAUGAAACUAGAAAGUUGCCACUACCACCAAUACUUUAAAGUUUUGCCACUGACUUAAUCACAAAAAUUUAAAUUUUUGCGAGCACAGAAAAUACUUUGAAUCUUUAUUCCAUUGUGAAAGCCAGCUUACCUAUUUGGUCAGUGUAGCAGGGCAGUCUGUUUCUUUAAGAAGGAACAAUCAGCCCUAUUGAGAGACCCCAGCUGCAGGGUAUUUGGAUAGGCAGGGAGUGUCCUGCUAGAAGCCUUAAAAAAACUUGCAGAAGAGUGAGUGUUGGCCUCCUACAGUAGGAUGGAACUUUCAGAAUAUGUCCAUCUUGCGAAGGUCAGUGAGACCCUUUUGAGCAUGCUCAAUGGGGAAACUGUGGUGGUUGGCGACCAUGGUGGGUAUACUACUGAAGUGAAUGAAGGGGAAAAAAACAUGAUUCCAGCAGCCAGGUUGCAGAGUGUGUGGCAUUUGGGACCCAGAGAUAGCGUUCUGAAAGAAAGCACAAUGAAGUGGGGCAGGUAGACUGAAAUGAACUGUCCUAUUUAAAACACCAAUCCAGGCUGGGUAAGGUCUGGCUUCUACUGACAGAGAAGUAACAAAUCUGUCCACUCUCCCAGGAACUGAAGGAGGUUGAGGAGAAAUUUGGAUGACUUUUCUCUCAGUCAGAGAGGCAUGCAUCAUAUGCUGAGGACCAGCUCAGAAGAAGAAAUAUAAUACAUGAUCAUACAAGGGCCCCAGAAAAGGUGCAUUCAAUCUGCACUGAGAGCAACUCAGAAAAAAAAUGUGAUUUAAAAAAAAAGGUUUUCUUUGUAAGGUUUUCAUUUAUUGUUUGUUACCCAUUUGUUAUUGUAAUAAAAAGAUAAAUUUGGA
Long non-coding RNA from Alligator mississippiensis (American alligator), 11719 nucleotides. RefSeq lists it as uncharacterized. The record is from RefSeq and is a predicted model, not a curated record. The transcript is spliced from 3 exons. NCBI's taxonomy places the organism in Eukaryota, Metazoa, Chordata, Crocodylia, Alligatoridae.